This 253-nucleotide ribosomal RNA is filed under the name uncultured bacterium. RNAcentral describes it as "partial 16S ribosomal RNA". It matches the Rfam family "Bacterial small subunit ribosomal RNA", at positions 524 to 776 of the family's 1533-position model. The record is from RNAcentral.
GACAGAGGUCCCGAGCGUUAGGCGGAAUCACUGGGCUUAAAGCGUGUGUAGGCGGAUGCCUAAGUACCUUGUGAAAUCCCACGGCUCACCCGUGGAACUGCUUGGUAUACUGGGUGUCUUGAGCCACUUAGGGGCUACCGGAACAAAUGGUGGAGCGGUGAAAUGCGUAGAUAUCGAGAGGAACACCUGCGGCGAAGGCGGGUUGCUGGGCUGACACUGACGCUGAGGCGCGAAAGCCAGGGGAGCGAACGGG